RNA transcript from Balaenoptera acutorostrata (minke whale), 1204 nucleotides. It is a transcript of the gene named V-type proton ATPase subunit B, brain isoform-like, with no coding region annotated. Lineage: Eukaryota; Metazoa; Chordata; Mammalia; Artiodactyla; Balaenopteridae. The transcript is spliced from 5 exons. The record is from RefSeq and is a predicted model, not a curated record.
GGCCGGACGGGGCAGCCUGCUCGGCAGGCAGCGGGCAGCCUCCGCCCGCGGGUGGGUAAGCGGUGGUUCCCGGGUCAGGGAGCCUGCAGAGGGGCUCACAGCACUUCUGCAGCUGUUGUCUGUUUCUCCGGUUCCCAGAAAUACCCUUCCCUUUUGAAAAGACUUCUUUUUGCUUUGAAGCUACGGGCUGGAGGAUUUACAAUACUUGCCCCAGGUCGCAACACAAGGUCAGACUGGGUGUGGCCAAUCAUUUCAGUUGGUUGGACUCAUGAUAGAGAAGGAGAUGUUUUCAUCUGUUGGAGGUGGGAGGACGUGCUCUUCAGGCCUUUCAGAUGCUGCUUACAGAAGGAUGGCUGAAGGACAUUAGCCCCUCCAGAUCUAGCCUCAGAGUGACACCUCUACACAUACAAGAUUUACCCGCCUAUUAAUGUGCUGCCCUCGUUGUCUCGGUGAAUGAAGUCUGCUACUGGAGAAGGUAUGACCAGAAAGGAUCACGCCGAUGUAUCUAACCAGCUGUAUGCAUGCUAUGCUAUUGGUAAGGAUGUGCAGGCCAUGAAAGCCGUAGUUGGAGAAGAAGCCCUUACCUCAGAUGAUGUGCUUUACUUGGAAUUUCUGCAGAAGUUUGAGAGGAACUUCAUUGCUCAGGGUCCUUACGAAAACCGCACUGUCUAUGAGACUUUGGACAUUGGCUGGCAACUGCUCCGACUCUUCCCCAAAGAAAUGCUGAAGAGAAUCCCUCAGAGCACCUUGAGCGAACUCUACCCUCGAGAGUCUGCAAAGCAGUAGCUGCUACUUCAUCGCUGGCUCGAUGCUCUUGUGAAAUACUGGUUCUGUUUUCUUUAUUCCUUUUGCACUCCCCCAUCCCCACCUUUGUGUUGGAGUUUACUGUGUUGCCCUGUAAUUAAAAACAAAGAAUAGGUAACAUAUUGUGCCAGUGUUGCAAUGUUUUAAACUGCUAACAGACUUUAAAAUAUCCCCUGUUCAGAAAACCUGGACCUGCAAUGCUUUGUUUAAAGUAGCUGAGGGUUGGAGGUGAGGUUUUCGUACUGAUGUGUGUAUUUGUACGUAGUGGUGUAGUUAGCUGCCUAGUGUCCUCAUUAUUUGGGUCUCUCAGACCUUCCCUGUCCACCCCCUCCAGAGUAUCACUAUCUGAAGUUCUGAUGCUUUGAUCUCCAAACUAGGGACAAGAUAGGGUCUGAAAGAC